CGUUUCUAUCUACAAUGUUCAAUCCCAACUUUUCUGAGUCCUAGUACGCAAGGAAUGGUCUCAGCGAUGCUCGACUAUAUUGGUCCCAUCGAUGUAAUCAACUUCUGGCUGCUGCAAAGAAGGAGAACAAAAAGUUUAGGGAUUAAUAAAGUGCC
Molecule: ribosomal RNA, 155 nt
Filed under: Anthomastus sp. USNM 1116820
Lineage: Eukaryota; Metazoa; Cnidaria; Anthozoa; Scleralcyonacea; Coralliidae
Description: partial 16S ribosomal RNA
Source: RNAcentral